GACAGAGGCCUCGAGCGUUAGGCGGAAUCACUGGGCUUAAAACGCGUGUAGGCGGAUCGUUAAGUGCCUUGUGAAAUCCUGCGGCUCAACCGCAGAACUGCUGGGCAUACUGGCGAUCUUGGGCCACUCAGGGGUCACUGGAACAAGCGGUGGAGCGGUGAAAUGCGUAGAUAUCGCUUGGAACGCCAAAGGUGAAGACAGGUGACUGGGGGUGUGCCGACGCUGAGACACGAAAGCGUGGGGAGCAAACAGG
Molecule: ribosomal RNA, 253 nt
Filed under: uncultured bacterium
Lineage: Bacteria
Description: partial 16S ribosomal RNA
Rfam family: Bacterial small subunit ribosomal RNA
Source: RNAcentral